CCUACGGGAGGCAGCAGUGGGGAAUAUUGGACAAUGGGGGGAACCCUGAUCCAGCCAUGCCGCGUGUGUGAAGAAGGCCCUCGGGUUGUAAAGCACUUUCAGUGAGGAAGAACGCCUGGUGGUUAAUACCCAUCAGGAAAGACAUCACUCACAGAAGAAGCACCGGCUAACUCCGUGCCAGCAGCCGCGGUAAUACGGAGGGUGCGAGCGUUAAUCGGACUUACUGGGCGUAAAGCGCGCGUAGGUGGCUUGAUAAGCCGGUUGUGAAAGCCCCGGGCUCAACCUGGGAACGGCAUCCGGAACUGUCAAGCUAGAGUGCAGGAGAGGAAGGUAGAAUUCCCGGUGUAGCGGUGAAAUGCGUAGAGAUCGGGAGGAAUACCAGUGGCGAAGGCGGCCUUCUGGACUGACACUGACACUGAGGUGCGAAAGCGUGGGUAGCAAACAGGAUUAGAUACCCGAGUAGUC
RNAcentral lists this ribosomal RNA (465 nucleotides) under Vreelandella stevensii. RNAcentral describes it as "partial 16S ribosomal RNA". It matches the Rfam family "Bacterial small subunit ribosomal RNA", at positions 338 to 795 of the family's 1533-position model. Lineage: Bacteria; Pseudomonadati; Pseudomonadota; Gammaproteobacteria; Oceanospirillales; Halomonadaceae. The record is from RNAcentral.